CAAGUAGGACGGACGGUCGCCGUCCUGGUUCGGAUUUUCGGAUCGGGAGGGAGGAAAGUCCGGGCACCACCAGGCAGGAUGCCCGCUAACGGCGGGGCGGGGAAACCCGACGGACAGUGCCACAGAAACAUACCGCCCUUCCGGAAACGGAAGGGUAAGGGUGAAAUGGCGAGGUAAGAGCUCACCGCCCGGUCGGUAACGGCCGGGGCAGGGUAAACCCCAUCCGGUGCAAGGCCAAAUAGGGGGACGCAGGCGUCUGGCCAGUCCCCGGGUUGGCCGCUUGACCCUUCCGGCAACGGAAGGGCUAGAUGGAUGACCGCACAGAGAUCGACCGCGGGGAGGAAGGCUAGAUCGUAAACCCGCGGCCGGACUUGGACAGAACCCGGCUUACAGUCCGACUUGUCAC
Molecule: RNase P RNA, 406 nt
Filed under: Dehalococcoidia bacterium
Lineage: Bacteria; Bacillati; Chloroflexota; Dehalococcoidia
Description: RNase P RNA component class A
Rfam family: Bacterial RNase P class A
About the family: Ribonuclease P (RNase P) is a ubiquitous endoribonuclease, found in archaea, bacteria and eukarya as well as chloroplasts and mitochondria. Its best characterised activity is the generation of mature 5'-ends of tRNAs by cleaving the 5'-leader elements of precursor-tRNAs. Cellular RNase Ps are ribonucleoproteins.
Source: RNAcentral